RNAcentral lists this ribosomal RNA (254 nucleotides) under uncultured bacterium. RNAcentral describes it as "partial 16S ribosomal RNA". It matches the Rfam family "Bacterial small subunit ribosomal RNA", at positions 524 to 776 of the family's 1533-position model. The record is from RNAcentral.
UACGGGGGGGGCGAGCGUUGUUCGGAAUCACGGGGCGUAAAGGGCGCGUAGGCGGCCCGCACAAGUCUGCGGUGAAAACCCCCGGCUUAACCGGGGGCCGGCCGUGGAAACUGUCGGGCUGGAGGCUGGGAGAGGGCAGCGGAAUUCCCGGUGUAGCGGUGAAAUGCGCAGAGAUCGGGAGGAACACCCGUAGCGAAGGCGGCACUCUGGGCCGGUACUGACGCUGAGGAGCGAAAGCGUGGGGAGCAAACAGG